This is a long non-coding RNA of Centrocercus urophasianus (Greater sage-grouse), 1978 nucleotides long. RefSeq lists it as uncharacterized. NCBI's taxonomy places the organism in Eukaryota, Metazoa, Chordata, Aves, Galliformes, Phasianidae. The transcript has 7 exons. The record is from RefSeq and is a predicted model, not a curated record.
AAAGAGCAUUUCCCAAGAAUGAUUUCACGGCACGAGCUGUUCUGGAAGCACCCUGACACUCAGGAUGGCCGUAAAUCGCUUCAGAUAGGUUAAACAAAUUACCAACCCUUCGGGAGGUGGUCCGCUCACUCCCACCCUCUCUACGUGCCACCGUCCUUCUGCUUAUUUGCUUCGCACCGCGCAAUGAAAAUCAGCUGGAAAGUUUCGUUUUUGCUUUUCGUCGGUUUCACUUUCCAGCUGCUUACAAGCCACGAAAAGUUUCUGUUUGCGUUAAACCCGAGCGAUAGGCGGGGAAGAAGGGAGAGGCACGAAGGCAGCCCAGCGGGCGCUCCGGCAGCACUCGCCGAGGUCAUAGAUAUUUAAACGCCUGCGUAUAAAAUUCCAUUUUCUGCUGGAAGAACAUUUAAAGUCACCUGAAAAUCAUUCUGAGUACUAUAAGGAUUAGGUAACAAGUGCAUGAAUAUAGCUCCACCAAAAUGAGCAAGCUAUAAAUUGGCAGCAGCUUUAUGAGGCGUUUCAAGUAGAGACAAUAGUAAAUCCUUCUGAAUGCUACUGUGGAUACCUCUUUUCAGCCUGAGAGAUUCUAUUGACUGUAGAAACAUUAAAUGAAAAUGGGGAGAGACCAAGUCCACCUGAGUCCACUAGCUACAGAGAGAAAGGUCUCACAACAUCUUUCUUUCUGCCUGCACUUGCUGACUGAAGACAAAACAGCAAGUCUCCAGUCACUCUGCUGCAAAUGGAGUUAUGCUGUCCUUCCAGCAAUUUUUUCUCUGACAGAAACAAUCAUAGUGGUCAGAGCAGAUGGAUUGUACUGGUGUUGCAAAGGGUUCUUUUCCAGAUAAGAAACUGGAAGCAGAGAGAAGAGAGUUACAGAAUGUGAAUGGACAGCGAUGGACACCAAGUUGAACAUGAGCCAGCAGCAUGCCCUGGCUACUAAGAAGAUAUCCUGGGCUGCCUUAGGCAAAGCACUGCCAGCAGGUCGAGGGAGGGAGAUGAUCCUUCCCCUCUAUUCAGCACUGGUGAGGCCACACCUGGGGUGCUGGGUCCAAUUCCAAGGCCCCUAGUGCAAGAGAGGCAUGGACAUACUGGGAAGAGCCCAACAGACAGCUGCUGAGGUGAUGAGGAGUCCGAAGCGCUUCUCCUGUGAGGAGAGGCUGAGAGAGCUGGGGCUGCUCAGAUGGAGAGGAGGAAGCUCAGGGGGACAUCAGUGUCCAUAAAUUCUUGAUGGGGAUGUGCCAAGAAGCCAGGCUCUGUCAGUGGUGCCUGGUGCCAGGACCAGAGACCAUGGGCACAAAUUGGAGCACAGGAGAUUCCCUCUGGACACCAGGAGCACUUCCUUGCUGCACAGGUGAUGGAGCACUGGCAUGCUCCUGUUCUUGUUGGCACAGGGGCUGGGGGAGAUCCAGAGAUCAAACACUUCCCUACCUCAACCGUUAUGUGACUCUGAUUCUGUGAAGUAUGGACAUUUGGACAAUAACUUUGUCUUCCUAUAGAAUUAAUGGAGGAGAACAGGCCCCAGUACUAGUUUCUUACUCUGAAUUGUACUCAUGAAUGUCUUUCUCCUUUCCAUUGACUGCUGAGAUAUCCUUAGAAGGCUGGUUGUGUAAUUUAGGCACCUAGGUCAGAUCCUGAAAAUUGCCAAGACAGGAAUGGUGCCACAAUAAUGGAUUUGUUCUUUUGAAUUUGCCUGUGAGACCUGCUGGCCAGUAAAUACUGACAGAUGUGUUGAUAAGGAAUCAUCAAGCUUAGAGUGGGAAAUCUGAGCUGACAUCUUAGUGCCACCAAAUCAUCUGAUACUGAAUUCACUGGAAUUGGUAUUUCAGCCCAGUGGGCGAAGUGCAGCAAGAUACACAUUCAUUUUGUCUCAUCCCAUCCUGUCCCAUCCUUUCUUGUCUUGUCUCAUCCCAUUCUGUCUCAUUCCAUCCUAUUCCAUUCCAUCCCAUCCUGUUCCAUCCCAUCCCAUUUCAUUCUGCCCCAU